GGGUGAGUAACGCGUAGGUAACCUGCCUUGUAGCGGGGGAUAACUAUUGGAAACGAUAGCUAAUACCGCAUAACAAUGGAUGACACAUGUCAUUUAUUUGAAAGGGGCAAUUGCUCCACUACAAGAUGGACCUGCGUUGUAUUAGCUAGUAGGUGAGGUAACGGCUCACCUAGGCGACGAUACAUAGCCGACCCGAGAGGGUGAUCGGCCACACUGGGACUGAGACACGGCCCAG
Molecule: ribosomal RNA, 235 nt
Filed under: uncultured Streptococcaceae bacterium
Lineage: Bacteria; Bacillati; Bacillota; Bacilli; Lactobacillales; Streptococcaceae
Description: partial 16S ribosomal RNA
Rfam family: Bacterial small subunit ribosomal RNA
Source: RNAcentral